CCAAGGAAUAUCUACAGAGAAGAUCUACCAAGAAGUUUUUCCCCAAACCUCUUGGGGCACAUUCUUUCUCAGACCAUCUCAUUCCCUAAGGAGAAUGAGCUCGACCUUAAAGCAGUUGCUACAAAGAAUUGAUUCUCACCUCCCUCUCUCUUCCUCUCUCAACUCCAAGUUUGUUGAGCCCCUGGAUGAGUUGCAAAGACUGCCUGCACUAAGGCUUUGUGAGCUGGUUUCCUGUGAUGUCUCUUCAGUACAAUGCAAGGUUCUGUAGUUUGCUAUUCGUAAUCUAACUCUGGCAAAUGUCUUGGGGAAAAUGGGAAGCAAAAGGAAAAUGCGUCUGAGUCAGGCUGAAUGAAUUCUGCAACUCCUGCUGAAGUCAGCCAGAUCUGUGGACAACAGGAUUCACCGCUUUGUCCACAUUUACUGGGAAAUAUAACAAAAGAAGAGGAAAAACCAGUGAAGAUCAGUUUAACCUAUCCAUCAAGGAAGAGAAGAGCCAAGUGGAUGAAGGUUUUGAAUAGGGAUGGUAGAAAUUAGACAAAGGUUUUAACCGUAGACCUUCCACUAAUUGUGCAUUAGUAGAAUUUAUACCUUAGCUUCUUACAUCUAAAUAAUAAAAGCCAAUAUUUAUAUAGUAACUUUACUUUUCAGAAAAUGUUUUGAAUAUAUUAUCUCAAUCACACACACACACACACACACACACACACACACACACACACACACACACACACCAUGAAGUGGUUGCUAUUAUUGCCAACCUCAUUUUAUAAAUGGAAAGUCUGAGGUUCAGAGAAAUAAAAGUGGGUUAUUUGAAAUUCCAGUUAAUGAAUUGAAGAUGGAGGCUAUAAGCCUGAGUCCUUUGGACUCCAAGCCCAAUAUUCUGCUUGCUAUAUAACAUAUCACAUCUCAAAAGCAGUGGGUUUUCCAUGACAUGCAAUACCAAAGUAGUCCUGAUAGUGAAAGAUUCUGUCUCUAUUGAGGACAUUACAAGAUAGUUUAUGGGAAGAUUUGGUGCCUCUAUCUUAACCUCAAUAGGUCAAAGUUGUCCCUUAAAUGCUUCUAGCUUUCUUAAUAAUUUUUGGUGGAACUAUGCUCUAGUAGUACAUCUAAGCCUCCUCAAAUUUCUUUAAAUUCAGCCCAUACAGACUUUAGGGUUAUAAAUUCCAUAUUGGCGUUCUCUAUCUCCUUCCUGCCUCAUCCCAACCCCAUCCAGCUAUCUAAAUAAACAUAGUUCAUAAGUGGUUAAAUAAUUAGAACAAAGAAAUAGCCCAGAAUUUUUAUGCAUAGGACAAGGAGGAAAACUUCUCUUGGAUGCAUUUUCCUGUGGGAAGGAAGUCAGUUCCUCUAAAUUUCACUAACCUAGGUCAAACCCCCGAUAGUCCUGUCCUAGUUAUAACUCUGCUUAUGAAAGCAUUUGUUUAAAAAAAUCUGGCUCCUGAAUCUGAACAAGCUAGUCUCUCUACAGGAGACGAUAAGGAACAUAACCAGAACAAACCAAUGCACCAUUAAGAGAAAACCACCAUGAGACACACAUCAUUACACAGCAGCCUGUCUUACUUUCCUGGGGUCUUCUAAAGUUUUAGAUGCACUUAAUUUGUUCUCCAAAUCCCCAAGCUCUACUUUUCUUUAUCUUUUUUUCCCAGAUUCUUCAUCGUUCCUCUCAACCCUUCAAACCUGGCUCUGACCCCUGUUUCUUUAUUCAAUACUCUCUUUUUGAUAGGGUGGAGGGAAGGGAAAAUGGAGAAAGGCAUAUCCAAGUUACAACUAUGUCCUGGUAACCAGUGUUUAGCAUAAUGCCUAAGACAUAGUAAAUGCUUAAUAAAUGUUUAUUGAUUAA
This is a long non-coding RNA of Monodelphis domestica (gray short-tailed opossum), 1834 nucleotides long. RefSeq lists it as uncharacterized. The record is from RefSeq and is a predicted model, not a curated record. NCBI's taxonomy places the organism in Eukaryota, Metazoa, Chordata, Mammalia, Didelphimorphia, Didelphidae.